UACGAAGGGUGCAAGCGUUAGUCGGAAUUACUGGGCGUAAAGCGUGCGUAGGUGGUUUCUUAAGUCCGUUGUGAAAGCCCUGGGCUCAACCUGGGAACUGCAGUGGAUACUGGGAGGCUAGAGUGUGUCAGAGGAUGGUGGAAUUCCCGGUGUAGCGGUGGAAUGCGCAGAUAUCGGGAGGAACACCCGUAGCGAAGGCGGUUCUCUGGGCCAAUACUGACGCUGAGGAGCGAAAGCGUGGGGAGCAAACAGG
This 253-nucleotide ribosomal RNA is filed under the name uncultured bacterium. Its description in RNAcentral is "partial 16S ribosomal RNA". It matches the Rfam family "Bacterial small subunit ribosomal RNA", at positions 524 to 776 of the family's 1533-position model. The record is from RNAcentral.